UGAGGAAUUUUGGACAAUGGGCGAAAGCCUGAUCCAGCAACGCUGCGUGAAGGACGAAGGUUCUCGGAUCGUAAACUUCUUUUGUACGGGACGAAAAAAAUGACGGUACCGUGCGAAUAAGCCACGGCUAACUACGUGCCAGCAGCCGCGGUAAGACGUAGGUGGCAAGCGUUACUCGGAAUUACUAGGCGUAAAGCGCGCGCAGGCGGCUAUCUAAGUCAGUUGUCAAAUACUUCGGCUCAACUGGAGUACGCGACUGAAACUGGAUAGCUCGAGUGGGGCAGAGGAAAUCGGAAUUCCCGGUGUAGCGGUGGAAUGCGUAGAUAUCGGGAGGAACACCAGAGGCGAAGGCGGAUUUCUGGGCCUUUACUGACACUGAGGCGCGAAAGCUAGGGGAGCAAACAGG
RNAcentral lists this ribosomal RNA (406 nucleotides) under uncultured bacterium. RNAcentral describes it as "bacterial SSU rRNA". It matches the Rfam family "Bacterial small subunit ribosomal RNA", at positions 355 to 776 of the family's 1533-position model. The record is from RNAcentral.